Molecule: ribosomal RNA, 500 nt
Filed under: uncultured bacterium
Lineage: Bacteria
Description: bacterial SSU rRNA
Rfam family: Bacterial small subunit ribosomal RNA
Source: RNAcentral
AGAGUUUGAUCCUGGCUCAGAGCGAACGCUGGCGGCAGGCCUAACACAUGCAAGUCGAACGGGCCCCUUCGGGGGUCAGUGGCAGACGGGUGAGUAACACGUGGGAACGUACCCUUCAGUUCGGAACAACCCAGGGAAACUUGGGCUAAUACCGGAUAAGCCCUUACGGGGAAAGAUUUAUCGCCGAAAGAUCGGCCCGCGUCUGAUUAGCUAGUUGGUGAGGUAAUGGCUCACCAAGGCGACGAUCAGUAUCCGGCCUGAGAGGGCGGACGGACACACUGGGACUGAGACACGGCCCAGACUCCUACGGGAGGCAGCAGUGGGGAAUUGUUCGCAAUGGGCGCAAGCCUGACGACGCAACGCCGCGUGGAGGAUGAAGAUCUUCGGGUCGUAAACUCCUGUCGAGCGGGACGAACACCUAUCCAGCUAACAUCUGGACUGGCUGACGGUACCGCUAAAGGAAGCCCCGGCUAACUCCGUGCCAGCAGCGGCGGUAAUAC